UAACAACCUGUGUGUAUACAUUUUCUCUUUAUACUUUCAGAAUCAACAUUCCUAGGGAGAGAAUAACAAUAAUUAACAUUUUAAUUAAAUAUCUUCCUUCAAGAAAGGCAAAUUCACAUAGGAUCAUGCCAAACAGAUAAACAGAUUUCUAGGAAGCUGAAAUGUCUGCCGAGCUCCCUAUGCCAUCUACUAUGACUGAAUAGUGAGAAGCUGCACUGAUCUCAGAAAGAUAACAGAAAAACAAAAGAAGGACCAUUUUCCCGGGGACAGACUGACAGACGCUUUCAGCGGAGAAGUGACAGAACAGAACAAAGACUCUGGGGCAGAGAGGAAACAGGACAAACCCACUGACAUGGCCAGCCAAGCCACUAGCCAGCACUGCAUCCAUUCAGCUGCUGUCAUCUGGGAUAUGCCAUCUUCCCCAGACAAGCACACAAUAUGUUACUGCGCUUGGUUGAAGGAUAUAAAGGCAACCAAUUCAAGUUAUUUCCAGAAGACAGAGAAGAGGCAAUACAAUCAGGAAACAAACUGAAAUGAUAUCUGGUAUGUAACUAUUCAUUUUAUUAUUCCUUGCUACUUUUUCAAAGAUUGAAACACUUCCAAUAUAAUAUUUUAUCAGUUAAUACUUACAAUCUGUCUGCUAUGUGUCUCUGUGUUAAUCAUGCCUUUUAUUUUCUGCAUUUUGAUGCUUUGCUAUCUGUUUCUUUGCUGGUGCUGGAUAUAUGGCUUAGCUCAGGUUAGAAUAGUAAACAACUCAGCCAGGAAUGUAUCUUUCAAAUGUAAAACUGAUUAAUCCAGAACCCACUCCCCAGUCAACUUUUUUGUUGGGAUCUCAUAAGUUGGGCCACUAUUCACUUCUUUUUAUGGCCCCAGGGUCUGGUACCACACAGCUAGGGACAGAUCCUAUGCCAGAGAUCCUGCUGAAAUUACACUAAAUAGCCAGUCAUAAGCCUGUUUAUCCUGCCUCAUCUGUCUUUUCUAUUAGAAAAUACAAUUAUGACUCUUCUCAACAUUUUUCUCCUAUCCUUCUACCACCUGACUGACUCCAAUGCACAGUACACCCUCUAAUAUUUUACUAUGAUAUACUGUUCCCUUUCUAAUGGGAUCUAAAAGUAUAACAGACUCUAUUUUCAAUGGAAGUUAUCUUUGUUACCCCUACUGUGUCUAAGUAACAAUGAAACCUACAUUAAUGCAAAUUUACACUUUUAUAAAUACAUGCAAAAUCUGGUUUAAUUUUUACAUCAAGACUGAUGAAAGUAAUUAAGUCCUUUCUAUAUUAUUUUAUUUUAUUAUUUGUUUUCUUUUUUGUUUAAAUAUUUAUUAAUAUAAAGAGAGCAUAUUUUUAUGUAUUUCAUAGGUAAAAUUCCAAUAAGAUAACCAUACUUCCCUCCCUGUCUCCCUUUCUCUCUUCUUUUUACUCUUCUUGAUUCCUCGGAGUCAGUUCUUUACUUUAAAAAUGUCACUAGGAUGCCUGUGUUAGAUACACUUGUACAAUAAAUUAAUUUCC
RNAcentral lists this long non-coding RNA (1507 nucleotides) under Oryctolagus cuniculus (rabbit). Its description in RNAcentral is "lncRNA (ENSOCUG00000034327.1)". The record is from RNAcentral. Lineage: Eukaryota; Metazoa; Chordata; Mammalia; Lagomorpha; Leporidae.